AUCUAUGGCUAUACCACACUGAACGCGCCCGAUCUCGUCUGUUCUUGGAAGCUAAGCACGGUCCGGCCUGUUUAGGACUUGCAUGGCAGACCAUCUGGGAAUACCAGGUGCUGUAGGUU
Molecule: ribosomal RNA, 119 nt
Organism: Cercocebus atys (sooty mangabey)
Lineage: Eukaryota; Metazoa; Chordata; Mammalia; Primates; Cercopithecidae
Source: Ensembl